AUUGAACGCUGGCGGCAGGCUUAACACAUGCAAGUCGAGCGGGGGAAGGUAGCUUGCUACCGGACCUAGCGGCGGACGGGUGAGUAAUGCUUAGGAAUCUGCCUAUUAGUGGGGGACAACAUCUCGAAAGGGAUGCUAAUACCGCAUACGUCCUACGGGAGAAAGCAGGGGAUCUUCGGACCUUGCGCUAAUAGAUGAGCCUAAGUCGGAUUAGCUAGUUGGUGGGGUAAAGGCCUACCAAGGCGACGAUCUGUAGCGGGUCUGAGAGGAUGAUCCGCCACACUGGGACUGAGACACGGCCCAGACUCCUACGGGAGGCAGCAGUGGGGAAUAUUGGACAAUGGGGGGAACCCUGAUCCAGCCAUGCCGCGUGUGUGAAGAAGGCCUUAUGGUUGUAAAGCACUUUAAGCGAGGAGGAGGCUACUUUAGUUAAUACCUAGAGAUAGUGGACGUUACUCGCAGAAUAAGCACCGGCUAACUCUGUGCCAGCAGCCGCGGUAAUACAGAGGGUGCGAGCGUUAAUCGGAUUUACUGGGCGUAAAGCGUGCGUAGGCGGCUUAUUAAGUCGGAUGUGAAAUCCCCGAGCUUAACUUGGGAAUUGCAUUCGAUACUGGUGAGCUAGAGUAUGGGAGAGGAUGGUAGAAUUCCAGGUGUAGCGGUGAAAUGCGUAGAGAUCUGGAGGAAUACCGAUGGCGAAGGCAGCCAUCUGGCCUAAUACUGACGC
Molecule: ribosomal RNA, 724 nt
Filed under: Acinetobacter baumannii Naval-17
Lineage: Bacteria; Pseudomonadati; Pseudomonadota; Gammaproteobacteria; Moraxellales; Moraxellaceae
Description: bacterial SSU rRNA
Rfam family: Bacterial small subunit ribosomal RNA
Source: RNAcentral